RNAcentral lists this ribosomal RNA (208 nucleotides) under uncultured bacterium. RNAcentral describes it as "partial 16S ribosomal RNA". It matches the Rfam family "Bacterial small subunit ribosomal RNA", at positions 568 to 775 of the family's 1533-position model. The record is from RNAcentral.
CGCGUAGGCGGCCCGCUAAGUCGAACGUGAAAUCCCCGAGCUCAACUCGGGAACUGCGUCCGAUACUGGUGGGCUUGAAUCCGGGAGAGGGAUGCGGAAUUCCAGGUGUAGCGGUGAAAUGCGUAGAUAUCUGGAGGAACACCGGUGGCGAAGGCGGCAUCCUGGACCGGCAUUGACGCUGAGGCGCGAAAGCUAGGGGAGCAAACGG